Small nuclear RNA from Jaculus jaculus (lesser Egyptian jerboa), 104 nucleotides. NCBI's taxonomy places the organism in Eukaryota, Metazoa, Chordata, Mammalia, Rodentia, Dipodidae. The record is from RefSeq and is a predicted model, not a curated record.
UUGCUUCAGGAGCACAUAUACUAAAAUUGGAAUGAUAACAGAGAAGGUUAUCAUGGCCCCUGCACAAAUGUGCAAAGGAUGUGUACAUGCAUCAAGAACUAUAA